RNAcentral lists this ribosomal RNA (1297 nucleotides) under Staphylococcus aureus. Its description in RNAcentral is "partial 23S ribosomal RNA". It matches the Rfam family "Bacterial large subunit ribosomal RNA", at positions 304 to 1597 of the family's 2925-position model. Lineage: Bacteria; Bacillati; Bacillota; Bacilli; Caryophanales; Staphylococcaceae. The record is from RNAcentral.
GACACUCUAUACGGAGUUACAAAGGACGACAUUAGACGAAUCAUCUGGAAAGAUGAAUCAAAGAAGGUAAUAAUCCUGUAGUCGAAAAUGUUGUCUCUCUUGAGUGGAUCCUGAGUACGACGGAGCACGUGAAAUUCCGUCGGAAUCUGGGAGGACCAUCUCCUAAGGCUAAAUACUCUCUAGUGACCGAUAGUGAACCAGUACCGUGAGGGAAAGGUGAAAAGCACCCCGGAAGGGGAGUGAAAUAGAACCUGAAACCGUGUGCUUACAAGUAGUCAGAGCCCGUUAAUGGGUGAUGGCGUGCCUUUUGUAGAAUGAACCGGCGAGUUACGAUUUGAUGCAAGGUUAAGCAGUAAAUGUGGAGCCGUAGCGAAAGCGAGUCUGAAUAGGGCGUUUAGUAUUUGGUCGUAGACCCGAAACCAGGUGAUCUACCCUUGGUCAGGUUGAAGUUCAGGUAACACUGAAUGGAGGACCGAACCGACUUACGUUGAAAAGUGAGCGGAUGAACUGAGGGUAGCGGAGAAAUUCCAAUCGAACCUGGAGAUAGCUGGUUCUCUCCGAAAUAGCUUUAGGGCUAGCCUCAAGUGAUGAUUAUUGGAGGUAGAGCACUGUUUGGACGAGGGGCCCCUCUCGGAUUACCGAAUUCAGACAAACUCCGAAUGCCAAUUAAUUUAACUUGGGAGUCAGAACAUGGGUGAUAAGGUCCGUGUUCGAAAGGGAAACAGCCCAGACCACCAGCUAAGGUCCCAAAAUAUAUGUUAAGUGGAAAAGGAUGUGGCGUUGCCCAGACAACUAGGAUGUUGGCUUAGAAGCAGCCAUCAUUUAAAGAGUGCGUAAUAGCUCACUAGUCGAGUGACACUGCGCCGAAAAUGUACCGGGGCUAAACAUAUUACCGAAGCUGUGGAUUGUCCUUUGGACAAUGGUAGGAGAGCGUUCUAAGGGCGUUGAAGCAUGAUCGUAAGGACAUGUGGAGCGCUUAGAAGUGAGAAUGCCGGUGUGAGUAGCGAAAGACGGGUGAGAAUCCCGUCCACCGAUUGACUAAGGUUUCCAGAGGAAGGCUCGUCCGCUCUGGGUUAGUCGGGUCCUAAGCUGAGGCCGACAGGCGUAGGCGAUGGAUAACAGGUUGAUAUUCCUGUACCACCUAUAAUCGUUUUAAUCGAUGGGGGGACGCAGUAGGAUAGGCGAAGCGUGCGAUUGGAUUGCACGUCUAAGCAGUAAGGCUGAGUAUUAGGCAAAUCCGGUACUCGUUAAGGCUGAGCUGUGAUGGGGAGAAGACAUUGAGUCUUCGAGUCGUUGA